GUGUCAGCAGCCGCGGUAAUACGUAGGGUGCGAGCGUUAAUCGGAAUUACUGGGCGUAAAGCGUGCGCAGGCGGUUCGUUAUGUCCGUUGUGAAAGCCCCGGGCUCAACCUGGGAAUGGCAAUGGAAACUGGCGAGCUAGAGUGUGGCAGAGGGGGGUGGAAUUCCGCGUGUAGCAGUGAAAUGCGUAGAGAUGCGGAGGAACACCGAUGGCGAAGGCAGCCCCCUGGGCUAGCACUGACGCUCAGGCACGAAAGCGUGGGGAGCAAACAGGAUUAGAUACCCUGGUAGUCC
This 292-nucleotide ribosomal RNA is filed under the name uncultured bacterium. Its description in RNAcentral is "partial 16S ribosomal RNA". It matches the Rfam family "Bacterial small subunit ribosomal RNA", at positions 505 to 796 of the family's 1533-position model. The record is from RNAcentral.